This is a long non-coding RNA of Ictalurus punctatus (channel catfish), 344 nucleotides long. Lineage: Eukaryota; Metazoa; Chordata; Actinopteri; Siluriformes; Ictaluridae. The record is from Ensembl.
UAGUGUAGUGUAGUGUAGUGUAGUGUAGUGUAGUGUAAUGUAGUGUAGUGUAGUGUAGUGUAGUGUAAUGUAAUGUAGUGUAAUGUAGUGUAGUGUAGUGUAAUGUAGUGUAAUGUAGUGUAAUGUAGUGUAGUGUAGUGUAGUGUAGUGUAGUGUAGUGUAAUGUAGUGUAAUGUAGUGUAGUGUAAUGUAGUUGAAUGUAAUGUAGUGUAGUGUAGUGUAGGCCUCUGUUCUCAAAGUGUUGCUCUUUUUAUUUAUCAUUACUAAUGAUUCAAAAAUCAAUCACAGAAUUGAUUACUUUAUUUUAUGCGUUUAAAACUUUAAAAAGUGUCAUAGCAAAUAAU